CCUACGGGAGGCAGCAGUGGGGAAUAUUGGACAAUGGGGGGAACCCUGAUCCAGCCAUGCCGCGUGUGUGAAGAAGGCCCUCGGGUUGUAAAGCACUUUCAGUGAGGAAGAACGCCUGGUGGUUAAUACCCAUCAGGAAAGACAUCACUCACAGAAGAAGCACCGGCUAACUCCGUGCCAGCAGCCGCGGUAAUACGGAGGGUGCGAGCGUUAAUCGGAAUUACUGGGCGUAAAGCGCGCGUAGGUGGCUUGAUAAGCCGGUUGUGAAAGCCCCGGGCUCAACCUGGGAACGGCAUCCGGAACUGUCAAGCUAGAGUGCAGGAGAGGAAGGUAGAAUUCCCGGUGUAGCGGUGAAAUGCGUAGAGAUCGGGAGGAAUACCAGUGGCGAAGGCGGGCUUCUGGACUGACACUGACACUGAGGUGCGAAAGCGUGGGUAGCAAACAGGAUUAGAUACCCUGGUAGUC
RNAcentral lists this ribosomal RNA (465 nucleotides) under Vreelandella stevensii. RNAcentral's name for it is "partial 16S ribosomal RNA". It matches the Rfam family "Bacterial small subunit ribosomal RNA", at positions 338 to 795 of the family's 1533-position model. The record is from RNAcentral. Lineage: Bacteria; Pseudomonadati; Pseudomonadota; Gammaproteobacteria; Oceanospirillales; Halomonadaceae.